GAUGGACGCUGGCGGCGUGCUUAACACAUGCAAGUCGAACGGAAAGGCCCAAGCUUGCUUGGGUACUCGAGUGGCGAACGGGUGAGUAACACGUGGGUGAUCUGCCCUGCACUUCGGGAUAAGCCUGGGAAACUGGGUCUAAUACCGGAUAGGACCACUUCUUGGAUGUUGUGGUGGAAAGUUUUUUCGGUGUGGGAUGAGCUCGCGGCCUAUCAGCUUGUUGGUGGGGUAAUGGCCUACCAAGGCGUUGACGGGUAGCCGGCCUGAGAGGGUGUACGGCCACAUUGGGACUGAGAUACGGCCCAGACUCCUACGGGAGGCAGCAGUGGGGAAUAUUGCACAAUGGGCGCAAGCCUGAUGCAGCGACGCCGCGUGGGGGAUGACGGCCUUCGGGUUGUAAACUCCUUUCGCUAGGGACGAAGCGUUUUGUGACGGUACCUGGAGAAGAAGCACCGGCUAACUACGUG
Molecule: ribosomal RNA, 467 nt
Filed under: uncultured bacterium
Lineage: Bacteria
Description: partial 16S ribosomal RNA
Rfam family: Bacterial small subunit ribosomal RNA
Source: RNAcentral